GUUGUUCUCUCUGGGCUGAAGAGACAGGGGCAGCUGGAAUGCUGUGUAAAGUUUGGACCAGCUAAAACCAAGAUGCUCCCCAGGCCCUGGCUGUCCGGUCAGGUGAGACUACCACCAGAGCUGACUUCGGCAUUGCCCCACAAGUACAGCAACUGCAGUGAGGUCUUCAAGAAGAAGAAUGUUGACAUCCUACCAUCACACCGGGAUUAUAAUUGCAUGAUUGAGCUGCAACAAAGGGCCAAGGUGCAAUAUCUGUGCCCUCUUCCACUCAUCCUGGAACUACUGGACCAUGUAUGAUCGGCCCAGGUACUCACAAAACACUAUCUGGGAGGGGCCUAAAACCUGGUUUGGAUCUGAGCUGGGGAUGAGUUGAAAAUGGCUUUUCAAAUCUACUGCCUAUGACCCACAAACUGACAAUCAGACCGAAUGAGCGAAGUCUUAGAACAAUACUUAUGCUGCUUCACAAAUUUCCACCAGGACAACUGGUUGAAACUCCUACCACAAGUAUAGUUUGAUUACAACAAUGUUGACCAUGUCUUCACUGGGCAGAGUCCAUUCUAUGCAAACUGUGGCUUUCACCCCCCAUCUCUAUCCAGCCAUACCUGUCAGCUCCACCAAUCCCGCAGCUGCCAACUGGAUGUGCCAGAUCUAUGAGGUCCAAGAAGAACUCAAGGUACAUCUGGAGAAGGCCAAGGAACAUUACAAGUGGUAGGCUGACCAACAGCCCCAGGAAAGUCCAGCAUUCACCAUCGGGCAAAAAGUGUGGCUCUCAAACCAAAACCUCUGCACCAACUGGUCACGUCAUAAACUGGAUUAUCAAUACAUUAGGCCAUAUUACAUCAGCCAGGUAACCAACCCAGUGACCACAAGCUUUAGUUAUCCAGAUCCCUCAAAAUACACCCAGUGCUUCACAUAUUCUUGCUAAAACCAUACAUCAACAACCCUUUUGCUCACCAGGCUCAACCAUCAACUGCUCCAGAGCAGGUGCAAGAACAUGAGUAUGAGGACCACAAGAAAAUCAAAUGUGGCUCCCUCUGGUUCCUUGUAGACUGAUCCUGGGUCCAAAAUCCAUGCCCCUGACCUUGUGGCAGCUCAUUCAAACACAUCCCAGGAUGGCUGAGGGUGCACCUAAAGAGAGGAGUAAUGUAAGCCUCCCAGUGGGUCUCAAACCCAGGCCUGCAGAGCUGUCAGAUACCACCACACUGCCACUCAUCCACAGCAAUAGGCAGCUUAUGCUCCACUAUCCAUGACCCCCUGUGGAUGUAGACCACAGGAAGUCCUGCCUCAAGUGGUCUGACAGGCAGUAGCCUCAUGGCUCCUGAUUGGCUCCCAGCCCUAUAUAAAUCCAAAGAGCAUUCCAGGAAGAGUGCCUAGGUAACCGUGUGGAUUUCCUGUAGCUGCCAUGGCUAUUCCUGCUCCCUGCUCUUGAAACCUUGGCUUUGACUUUGCCUUAAUUUGGACCUCACCUCCUGACCCGGACUCCGAAACUUGACUCAGACUCUGAUCCUUGAUAUUGACCCUGGCCUGGAACUUGACUACAAACUCUUCACACACACGUGUUCCUAUUUCCAAAGCACUGUGAAACCUUCUCUUGAAAUAGGGUCUAGAAGACAAAGGGACCAAGAAAGCUCUGCGGAGGCUUUGUAGAGAUUUCCUUUCAUUCUGCAGGACAGCUGGGCAGGAAAUGGUUUUCCUGUCUGACAGAGAUUUUGAGAUUUCAAUGUUUUCCCCAAAAAAGCUUGAAAAUUUUUGUGAACCAAUAAUCUUAAAAAGAAAAAAAAAAAGGAUUGACCCAGUCAAAAUGCCUCCUUUUAGCAUGUUUGAACCCCCUCCCUCUCCUGAAGUUUUUCAAAUCAGGAGAUUCAUCAAAACUGACUUUUUCCUGUGAACAGUUUUUUGAUGAAGUGACAUCUAUCUUUCCUAUGAAAAACUGUUUAGCCAGAAAAUUCCCAACCAGCUCUACCCAUCAAUUGUAAUGAGUCCAAGAAUGUGUGUCCAAAAAUUAGCAAAGAACAAAAAAUUGAUCUAAGGGGGGGAAAUCAACCUGCAUCACCUAACUCUCCAACAAGAAAGGCCUGUAGUAUCAACAGUGGCAGAUUUCUGCAACUACUUCUUUAUGUGAGCUACAUCUUUGCGAUUAGAUCCCCCAAUGUUUCUUGAUUUUGAUAAGAGGAAGAAAUUCUGACAACACAAAUGCUAUGGAGUAACACUAGCCAAGAUAACUUACUUCACUAAAAACUGUACAGGCGGUAUUGUGACACCUCGAUUUGUUCAAUGGGCUCUCCUGGCUAUCAGUCCUCUGCCUUAUAAAUAAGAAUAUUUCAUACUUAUUUUAAAGAAGUAAUGAACUAAAAUUGAAAGGAUACAUCUACUUUAGAUAUUAGGGAAAUAUUUUUAGGGCAAGGUCAAUCAGACAUAAAACAGUUUUCUUUAUGCAGUAGCCAUGGCACAAUCAUUAAGAAAUUUAAUAUAGAAAGAGUAAAAUAAAGACCUUUUUUGUGCUUGAAGCAUGAGACAUUUCUAUUGAAGAUCCCUUUUACCCGGUUACCUGUGAUUUUGCAUCUCCUAGUAUCAAAAGGUUAGUCAGGCCUGAUUAAGAUCCCUUCCUUCUAUUGCACUUGAGAGUUACUGAACUUUUGCUCACUGAGGAAAAUACUGAUCUGAAGUUCAGGAGAUUAAUGAGAAGAAACACCGCAUUUACUCAAGUCAAAUCUACGGUACAUCUGGUGCUGAUGCAGAGGAAGGAAACAGGUGUUUAGUUGUGACACAUUUUAGCACAAUUACACAAGUUCUGCUGCAAAACGCAUCCCACCCCAGCACAGACGUUAUCUUUACACCCACUAUGAGCCAGAAGUCAGGAAAUCUGCAUUGGUCAGAUUGUCAGCUGAUGUGGAAAACUGAGGAUGUUGUUUCAAUAUUCAUUUGGGAACAGCUGAAAAUUAACAAUGUUAAUGGUGAUGAUCAUUGAAACAGGACGGGGUGGCCCUAAAGCUAUGACAAACACAAAGUCUAAAAGCCCUAAAUCAUUACAACAUUGUAUCUGUGCUUUUUAAUCUUUCUACCAUGCAAAUUACAUAUACUAACCUGAGUCAUCAAUUGUCUGCUCAUUUGUUUUUAGAGUUGUAAUCGUAAUGUAUUUAUCUAUUUUUCAUGAACAAGUUCUCUGCAUAUAUAAAACAAACGUUCAGAUUGUUAAACACAGCUCCUAUGCAUUACAAGGGAAUAUGUUCUAGUGGUUAAAGUUCAGAAUUGGAUUUUUGGAGUUCACGUGUUUAUCCUGGGGUGUAACUGAUUGUUGUGUGAUCCUGACAAGUCACUUAAAUUCUCCAUGUCUCAGUCUCCCUAUAUGUGAAGUGGGGAAAGGAAUACCUGCAGUCCUAACCUCUAAGGAUGGUGGAAUGGGUAGCUUUUAUUUUCUAGCACUUGGAUUUAAUUAAUGUCUAUAAAGCAUUUUAAGAUCCUCAGCAAAAGGUACCAUGAAAAUGCCAAAGAGUGUUUAUUACUGUAAUAAAUACUGUAAAUAUCUUCUACAAUGCAAAACAUACGGCACACAUAGCCUUGCUCAGUUAGUUUGCUUAUUUAAGAACAAUGUGCUUCAGAGGAUGGGCAUAGCCUGCUCUCUUCACUUCACAUUUUGAUCUUAAUGACUGUUAAAUUCUUAAAAGGGCUUAUACUGUAGAAAACCAUCUUGAAUUGGUAGGGUUUAGACUGAAUGACCUUUUCUAUUUUUAAUUUCUAGAUGCUAUUAUUCUAACAAAGCUCAUGAGAUUGCAGAGGACAUAUUUGUUAUGGUGCGUUUAUUGGAGAUGAAGCAGGACUUCCUCAGGGACCAGGAGUUGAGAAGAACUUAGGCCCUGAUUCAGCAAGCUAAUGAGGCACGUGAAUCGUUCCACUGUUUAAGUUAGGGACGUGCUUAAGUAUUUUUCUGCAUCAGGGCCAUAAGUGGGGGAGGAGGCUUAUGAUAUAACUUGGGAAUUGGAUGAACCUUGAUUAGAUGUGGCUGAUAAAUACUAGCUAGACUACAAACCUGUCCAUUCAUGCAGACAACUACUAUGAAAGUGAAGACAUAAGUGCAAGCAAAGCCUUGAUGAAGAGACUCCUCAGCCUGUCUCCAGGGAAGAUAAAUAAUAAUGUACGCUCAUGCCUGCUGGAGUCACUCACCGUCUUUCAACAUUUUCAGAGGCAUUUCUUUCCUAGCAUAACUAGAGAGGAGAGAGACCUAGGCGCACUCAUGUUUUCUGCAUCCUUAAUUUAAAAAGUCAGUUUCCAGUGCCAGCAUGAGGAUGACUCAUCAUGCCCAAAGCACUUGCAAUAUUAAUCCGGUAGCUGGAAAGGGAGCUGUUCUACUUAAAUCAAAAUUCAUCCAAACACACAGAGAUUUGCUUGAAAUUCAAACCAAGCUUAUGAUUGGCAGAACACUUACAGCAGUGUUACCUUCAAGUUGGGAGGGAGGCAUCAGUUAUGAAAACAGAAUUUCUCCUUGGAAAUCGUGCAUUCAAAAAGAGAAAGCGUGAACUAUUAAGAAAAGGGAAAUAUCAGAGAGUUCACUAUAUAAAAGAUAUUAAGUCCAAGGCUUGGUCCCUUCAUACAUUCUUGCAUUAUUAAUUAUUAUUAUUGUAACAGAUAGGAAUUAGCAAAUGUGUAUAUGGAAAUAGGCAAACCAAACUAACAACUUCUAUCUCCUAACAAUUCAGCUGGCUCCAUAAUGCAGCUCGUUGGAUCUUCUCAACGAAGGAUAAAAUAAAUUAGGUUUCUGCUGCUUGAAAAUUAUUCUCAAUUUAAGUGUUUAUAUUUUCCAAGGCUUCAAGUCAUCUCUUUGGAUCAUUUGUAUAAAUAUAGAGUCGAGUGCUUGAAAGGAACUAUAUACAUUUCUGUGUAUCCCUAGCUUUUAAAUAAAGCAGUCUCUGUUGGGUCGGAGAAAACAGGUACAAAGAUAACAUUUAUUUAAGAAUCCAACAUACACAAAAAUAGAAGAGGAAAAUCAAACCCUUGAAGAAAUAAGAAUUUGCUUUUAAAAAGGUCAGUUAAAUGACACUAAGAAUCAGCAUUGAAUUGUAACACAGUAUUCCUGUGUAUUCUUCUAUUAAAAUGCUGUGAUAACCACAUCCCUCUCUACAAUCAGAAAUAAAGCUAUUAAUCUACCUUGAAAACUGGAGAUCUGUCACCUCAACUGUCAAACCCAUAACCUGACCUGCUGUUCAGUCCCUGGGGCCUUGUCUACACCAGACUCUGAGCAGGUUUUGGCAACAUAGGGUGAAACCCUGACCCCUCUAAAAUCAAUGGCAAAAGUCUCACUGACUUCAAUAGAGCUCAGAUUUCACCCAUAAGGGUAUAUCUACACAGCAGCUAGGAGCAUUCUUCCCACCUAGGAUAGACAGACACUCAUUAGCUGUGCUUGAGCUAGUGCGUUAAAAGUAGCAGUGUAGCUGGGACAGCAUGGGCAGCAAUUCUGGCUUGCUGCCUGAAUAUGCACCCAGGGUCUGCGCUACUCCCAGCUAUGCUGCUAUCUUUAGCAUAGUAGUUCGAGCCAAGCUAGUGUGUGUCUGUCUAUCUGCACUGGGAAGCACGCUCCCAGCUGCAGAGUUGACAUACCCAUAAUGGUUAAAAAUUCCAUCAACAACCCAGCAUUAGCAGUCCCAUCAUGGCUACAGUCCCACCAUGGCUACAGUGGUGGAGCUGAAGCAAUGAAAGCAAUGGUGGGGGAAAAGGGAAAUGUAGUCAUAGCCUAGGAGGGACAACUUUAGCUCUUAAUUUAAACAUUCUCUCAUUCAGUCCACUCAGCAGGGCCUCCAUCCUGUAAGAUUCAGAGAAUUCCAGCCUCAAGCCAGUACAGCACUUAAGAACAUGUUUUAUGUUUAAGGAUAUGUGUAGUCCAUUGACUGUAAUGGGAUCACUCAUGUCCUUAGGUAUAUGACUUAAGUGCUUUGUUGGGUUCAGGGUCAGAAUUCUCAGCCUUGUAGGAUGGAACCUCAUAGAAGCCUGGAACUUCACUUCCACACCAGACCAGGCCUCCCCCCAUGUUUUCCUGGCCCAUCUUCCUUUUCACAAACAACAUCUAGAAUGUGAAUCUUGUGAGUUUUCUUUCACCUGGCAUGUGGCCUGUAUAAUGUUCUCCCGCCUUGCCCAUUAAACACUUUACAACAAUAAUCAGAAGAUCUUCAGCUACAGAAAAAUUUAGAUAAGGAAAUUCAAAGGGAGCCAAGCUCUUAAAAAUCUAAUAAGUUUAUCCUCAAAUUGUAUCUGAUGCAACUUUUCAAAGCUGGCCUAUAAUGAGAUGUGCCCUUUUUCAAGAUAUCAUCAACUUUGGGAAGCACUAUGAAGUGUAGAAAAAAGCCUAAAAAGAACUACUGUCCUUGCCAAAAAUUACUACUGUGAAUAUUGAACAACAGAACAGUAGAGUAAGCAAUAUAAAUUAAAUUUCAGAGACAAGAACAGUUCUAUUUUUCAUAGAUGAAUGUAUGAUAAGACAAAUCUUGUGGUAUGUUAGGUAGCUUUGCACCAAAUACUGUCUGAGUGACUAAUCUGUAUGAUCAGAUAUGUAGUUAAUUCAGAGAAAUUAAGUAGUUCUAUUUCUGUCUCUCAACAAGACAGUCUGCAUACUUUAAGAAACUGUUAUUAGAACUUUACAGUUCCAGAGAAACAUUAUUGUUUUAUGAAUUACACAGUUGACUUUUCUUCUGGAUGUUAUAUGGUGAUAAGUUUCUCAGGCAUUUUCAAGGCAUGCUGACCUUCAUUAUUAAUCCUGCUAUUGACAUCAAUGUGAUUAUCUAAUUUUGCUCAAUAUAUUUCUCAGUAUUGCUUAAAGUGCAUAGAUGAAAGUAUAUUCAGUAUACUGUAUUCACCAACAAUACAAAUAUGGCUGGGACAGUAGAUAGCUGACACGAUGGAACCCCACUGCAAACUUGGGAACUUUCAUAACUAAUUAUUUUGCUCUCUGAUGAAAUCGGCUAGAUAAAUUAACUAUUGUAAACAAAGUAAAAAGAAUAGUCCUCCCCUUCCAGCCAGUAUGAUCCAUCCAAUGAUCCUGGCUAUUAUUGGAGAAAGUCAGUCAUUUAAGUUUAAUAUCUUAGAUGAGGACUUAUUUUUACUAGAACUUGUGAUCCAGAUUCAGGGCCAUUCUGUGACUACUUUGUAGACAUUUGCUGGGGCUAAGUGGUCACAAAUCUGAAGUAUUGAGACAGAAGAGCAUUCCCCUUGCAUGGGGAAAUUCUCCACUGGCAUAGAGCCACUGUAGCAACUCGUACACCUACCUCCCCUGAUCCCCCCCCCACCCUCACCCACUGUCUCUGACAUAGGGAGUGUGAUUUGAUAAAAGGGCUCAUGGCUGGAACACACCACACCAACCAUUGCAUCCAAAGAGGGCAGCUUGGAGUAAAACAGAGUGGCCCUCAGACUGCUUUAUUCUGUACUGCAUACAGGGACAAGGUCAACAGCCAAUGACUUCAGGCACAGAUAACUGUAAAGAUGACUUAAAGUAACCUUCAGUUUCUCUCCAGUACAGCACUGAGCAGGGCUUGACCAGAGCAGAGAAUCGGGAUCUGCCUAGAGUCAUACACCGCUACCUCGAUAUAACGCAACCUGAUAUAACAUGAAUUCGGAUAUAACGUGGUAAAGCAGCACUCUGGGGGGCGGGGCUGCGCACUCCAGUGGAUCAAAGCAAGUUCAAUAUAACGCGGUUUCACCUAUAAACGCGGUAAGAUUUUUUGGCUCCCGAGGACAGUGUUAUAUUGAGGUAGCGGCGUAUUUUGAAGAGUUCUUAUUCAUUGCACUUAUCUAAUCAUAUUAGUUCCCUCCAAUGAGUUUCAUAUGCCUCUACUUUUAUGUUCAAACAAUAUUGAUGCUGAUUUAGCUAAAGUGGACAAGCAGAAAAUUACUGUUAGACAAAUAUUGUAGUCAUGUAAUAUAUUCCUUUAAAGGCAUCUGAAUAUUAUCCAAAAUGUAAGACCCCAGAGUAUGACUAUUGGGCCAUUCAACCACAGCUAGUAGAUAGUUCCCUUGACUAUCCUUUGAUUCUAUAAGAAAAUGAACCUGGAGCUAAACUUAUGCCUAAUGGAUUUAAGCAAGCACAGUUCUUACUGCUCCAAAAGCCAGAAUCCCUAAGGAAUCUAUGCAUCUCUGAAAUCUUCAAGUAUGUAUGUGCUUAAUCAUGCCAGAAAAGUGCCAAAAUGUUUCCCAUUUAAAUUAAUAUAAGAAAUAUAUUAUAAUGUGAUGCUAGAACAAAAACUUUGGUCUGUCUAUAACAUGGUCUUCAGUAUUUAUUUCUAAUUUUCAGAUUGCAUCUAAGCAAGCUACUCAAAUUUAAAUUUCCUAAAUCCAUAUUGUCUCACUGUUGGUUAAAAUAUUCCUUGUGAAAUGAACUUGGUAAGCUGUCCCUCUGGGAAAGUCAUUUCAUUGUCAACCACUUUGAAUUUUUUUCUCACUUUAAUGUUCUUGUUCAAAUAUAACUUGUUUUAUCUAGCAGCACAGGGUCAAUUUCAGUCACAAAAUUAAACUUAGUGAAGCAAGUAUUUACAAUUGCCUGAACUACAAUAAAAACAGCUUAAAUCAA
Chrysemys picta bellii (western painted turtle) is the source of this 8548-nucleotide non-coding RNA. The record is from RefSeq and is a predicted model, not a curated record. NCBI's taxonomy places the organism in Eukaryota, Metazoa, Chordata, Testudines, Emydidae.